This 386-nucleotide ribosomal RNA is filed under the name Francisella tularensis subsp. holarctica. RNAcentral's name for it is "partial 23S ribosomal RNA". It matches the Rfam family "Bacterial large subunit ribosomal RNA", at positions 1377 to 1762 of the family's 2925-position model. Lineage: Bacteria; Pseudomonadati; Pseudomonadota; Gammaproteobacteria; Thiotrichales; Francisellaceae. The record is from RNAcentral.
GGGUAAGCCGGCCCCUAAGGCGUAGCUGAAGAGUGAAGUCGAUGGGAAACAGGUUAAUAUUCCUGUGCUGCUUAUAUGAACGAAGGAGGGACGGAGUAGGUUAGGUAGGCCUGGCGAAUGGUUGUCCAGGUGAAAGUAUGUAGGUAGGAAUGCUAGGCAAAUCCGGUUUUCUGUUGAUCUGAGAUACGAGACGAAGUUAAACUUGUUUGACGAAGCUAUUGAUACCAUGCUUCCAGGAAAAGCUUCUAAGUAUAUUGUAUAAGUGACCGUACUGUAAACUGACACUAGUGGGUAGGUAGAGAAUAUUAAGGCUAUAAGAUAACUCUGGUGAAGGAACUAGGCAAAAUGACACCGUAACUUUGGAAGAAGGUGUGCCCUUGAUGGUG